GUCCCUGCCUGUGCCCCCUGGCUGACUCCCUCACACAUCAUCACUGCUUUAGUAGGUGGUAGGUGUUGGUGGUGUCCUUCACUGUCUGUCUUUUCUACCAGGAUGGUAUAUCUUCCCCACCUGCUGGGAGUGUCAGUUCCCAACAGCUCACUGCUAUGGUUCUCUGGAGAACUGUCCCUCAGCCAAUGGAAAUACAUUCCCCUGAAGAGGGGCAGGUGCGAGGUAGAAGAAACCCAGAAGAGCUUCGUGGACUGUGAUGAUGUGGUGGUAUCUUGGAAGAAGAGCUUAAUGCUUCAACUUCAGCAGCCACUGUCAUCUUUCUGGCUAAGACAUCGCAAACUUUGUCAUUGUUUCCUUGAUUAAUUUUUUGGUAACACAAUGGACAGAUUUUUAACCACAGAAUAAAUCCUUAUAAUAAAUUUGACUUGCA
Molecule: long non-coding RNA, 430 nt
Filed under: Vulpes vulpes (red fox)
Lineage: Eukaryota; Metazoa; Chordata; Mammalia; Carnivora; Canidae
Description: lncRNA (ENSVVUG00000013481.1)
Source: RNAcentral